This 674-nucleotide ribosomal RNA is filed under the name uncultured bacterium. Its description in RNAcentral is "bacterial SSU rRNA". It matches the Rfam family "Bacterial small subunit ribosomal RNA", at positions 662 to 1333 of the family's 1533-position model. The record is from RNAcentral.
GGGAAUUUCUGGUGUACCGGUGAAAUGCGUAGAGAUCAGAAGGAACACCAAUGGCGAAGGCAACAUUCUGGACCAAUACUGACACUGAGGGACGAAAGCGUGGGGAUCAAACAGGAUUAGAUACCCUGGUAGUCCACGCUGUAAACGAUGAGUACUAGCUGUUGGAUUCGGUGUAAAGGAUCUAGUGGCGUAGCUAACGCGUUAAGUACUCCGCCUGGGGACUACGGCCGCAAGGCUAAAACUCAAAGGAAUUGACGGGGACCCGCACAAGCGGUGGAGCAUGUGGUUUAAUUCGAUGCAACGCGAAGAACCUUACCUGGUCUUGACAUCCUGCGUACUUUCUAGAGAUAGAUUGGUGCCUUCGGGAACGCAGUGACAGGUGCUGCACGGCUGUCGUCAGCUCGUGUUGUGAAAUGUUGGGUUAAGUCCCGCAACGAGCGCAACCCCUAUUGAUAGUUACCAUCAUUAAGUUGGGUACUCUAUUGAGACUGCCGCUGACAAGGCGGAGGAAGGUGGGGACGACGUCAAGUCAUCAUGGCCCUUACGACCAGGGCUACACACGUGCUACAACUGGGUAUUACAGAGGGCAGCGAAGUAGCGAUAUGGAGCGAGGCUCAGAAAGGUACUCUUAGUCCGGAUUGCAGUCUGCAACUCGACUCCAUGAAGUCGGAAUC